UAAGAUGGAGAUAAAAACACAGUUUCGGUUGGUAGUCCGAACCUAUCCAUAUUUUGUAGAUAGCAGUAACCUGCCCUCCUGGGGUUGUCCCUUCUUCAGGUUUUAAUU
RNAcentral lists this non-coding RNA (108 nucleotides) under Clostridium pasteurianum. Its description in RNAcentral is "Azaaromatic sequence". It matches the Rfam family "azaaromatic riboswitch aptamer (yjdF RNA)". RNAcentral also lists the same sequence under 1 other name. Lineage: Bacteria; Bacillati; Bacillota; Clostridia; Eubacteriales; Clostridiaceae. The record is from RNAcentral.